Gadus macrocephalus (Pacific cod) is the source of this 668-nucleotide long non-coding RNA. RefSeq lists it as uncharacterized. The transcript has 3 exons. NCBI's taxonomy places the organism in Eukaryota, Metazoa, Chordata, Actinopteri, Gadiformes, Gadidae. The record is from RefSeq and is a predicted model, not a curated record.
UUUCCCCCCCCCCCACUCUGCAUGUUACGGCGCGGUACAGUCAAACAAAUCUGCUGUGUUUUUUGUUGUCACAUCCUAACUCCCACCUCAUAUUUCAUUCACAGGCGAUCGUGGGCUACUUUGACAUUUUCUUCGACAAAGGCUGUGGAAACAAGGUGUCCUUCUCCACUGGUCCAAAGGACACAAAGACCCACUGGAAGCAGACGCUCUUCCUGCUAGAGAGCCCACUUCCUGUCCAGGCCGGGGAGGAGCUUCAGGGAACGAUCAAAGUCAUCAAGAACAAGAAGGACCCCCGGUCGCUGCUGGUCACGCUGAUUCUCCGAGACAGGAAGCAGACCUACAUGCUGCAGUGAGCGUGGGAGCUGACUGCAUGGGGUCUGAGAGGAUGACUCUGAAUACUCCACCUUUAACCCGUAGGACUGAAACACAGGUGGAGAUGGCAUUCUAUGUGUUCUUCCAGAGAUGGUGUGUACUCAAAGUAUUAGCAUGGACCACACACACACACACACACACACUCGUGCACAUGCACACACACGCAAACACACAAGCACGCAAACACACAAGCGUGAUUUCAGAUGAGUGAGCGUGAUUUCAGACGACUGGAGGGACGUUUGAUCACAGGGAUCAAAGGCGAUUUGUUCUUUUUAAUAAAGAUUUAUAAUGCAGAA